GAUUAGAUACCCUGGUAGUCCACGCCGUAAACGAUGUCGACUUGGAGGUUGUUCCCUUGAGGAGUGGCUUCCGGAGCUAACGCGUUAAGUCGACCGCCUGGGGAGUACGGCCGCAAGGUUAAAACUCAAAUGAAUUGACGGGGGCCCGCACAAGCGGUGGAGCAUGUGGUUUAAUUCGAUGCAACGCGAAGAACCUUACCUACUCUUGACAUCCACGGAAUUCGGCAGAGAUGCCUUAGUGCCUUCGGGAACCGUGAGACAGGUGCUGCAUGGCUGUCGUCAGCUCGUGUUGUGAAAUGUUGGGUUAAGUCCCGCAACGAGCGCAACCCUUAUCCUUUGUUGCCAGCGAUUCGGUCGGGAACUCAAAGGAGACUGCCGGUGAUAAACCGGAGGAAGGUGGGGAUGACGUCAAGUCAUCAUGGCCCUUACGAGUAGGGCUACACACGUGCUACAAUGGCGCAUACAAAGAGAAGCGACCUCGCGAGAGCAAGCGGACCUCACAAAGUGCGUCGUAGUCCGGAUCGGAGUCUGCAACUCGACUCCGUGAAGUCGGAAUCGCUAGUAAUCGUGGAUCAGAAUGCCACGGUGAAUACGUUCCCGGGCCUUGUACACACCGCCCGUCACACCAUGGGAGUGGGUUGCAAAAGAAGUAGGUAGCUUAACCUUCGGGAGGGCGCUUACCACUUUGUGAUUCAUGACUGGGGUGAAGUCGUAACAAGG
This 720-nucleotide ribosomal RNA is filed under the name uncultured bacterium. Its description in RNAcentral is "bacterial SSU rRNA". It matches the Rfam family "Bacterial small subunit ribosomal RNA", at positions 776 to 1496 of the family's 1533-position model. The record is from RNAcentral.